RNAcentral lists this ribosomal RNA (254 nucleotides) under uncultured bacterium. RNAcentral describes it as "partial 16S ribosomal RNA". It matches the Rfam family "Bacterial small subunit ribosomal RNA", at positions 524 to 776 of the family's 1533-position model. The record is from RNAcentral.
UACGGGGGGAGCAAGCGUUGGUCGGAUUUACUGGGCGUAAAGGGCGCGUAGGCGGUCGUGACAAGUCACUUGUGAAAUCUCCGGGCUUAACUCGGAACGGUCAAGUGAUACUGUCGGACUAGAGUGCAGAAGGGGCAACUGGAAUUCUCGGUGUAGCGGUGAAAUGCGUAGAUAUCGAGAGGAACACCUGCGGCGAAGGCGGGUUGCUGGGCUGACACUGACGCUGAUGCGCGAAAGCUAGGUGAGCGAACGGG